Long non-coding RNA from Vigna angularis (adzuki bean), 827 nucleotides. RefSeq lists it as uncharacterized. The transcript has 4 exons. The record is from RefSeq and is a predicted model, not a curated record. NCBI's taxonomy places the organism in Eukaryota, Viridiplantae, Streptophyta, Magnoliopsida, Fabales, Fabaceae.
UGCAUAGAAGAACCUGACUAAUAGUAAGUGGAAAGAGAAUCACCUGAGGAGAGAUAUAUGAUACGGAGAUUCUUACAUGCCACGCUUACUUUAUUUUCCAAAUUCUGCAAGAAGACCAAACAAUCUCAGAGCUCUCAGGGCUUGCCAUUUGAGUCUUAGGGUACUGGAGGAAGAUUCGGGGGGAAGGCGUUAUUUGCGUUCGUGGUGAUAUUGUGAAAGUGAGUUAUUAAAUCUCAUUCUGUAUCAUCGACUGGACCAUUUCAAACUGUGUUUUGAAGAGUGUCGUUUUUGCUCUGUUUACUACCUUUCCAGGUUUAUCAAGAAAAGUGCACACAGAAACAGAGGAUGCUCCUUUUGAUUUCAAGUGCUUAAUGACUCUAGAUAAGUGACAUUGAGGGGUGAGAGGAGGAAAAAAGAGGAAUACCAAGAUGACAUGACGAGCGUUGAUGUCGACCUUCAAAUCCAAGGAAAUGGUGGGUGCGCCAUUGGAUUCUGUUCCUGAACCGUAGGAUUCAGCUCGGACGAAAUCAACGGAUACUGAGAAGUCGAUUUUGCGAACAAAAUCUGCCAAGAAGAGGAAGGCACCCGUGGCAACACCCACGACUAUGGGCGCUCGAGAACAACCAGCAAAGUCAGCGGAAACUUCGGCGGCAAGCUCCGAGACACGGCGAGAAAUUUGGUCCUCGCUCCACAGAAUUGUCUCAAUGUGGGAAUGCAUGGUCGUGUUCAUUAGAGAGGGUUUAUGGGAUGUUUUACAACUGCUAGGGUUUUUCAGAUUCUCUACCGUUUCCUCUUUCUAUUUGAAGAAAGUUAGAUAUCUUUUUCAA